AACGAACGCUGGCGGCAUGCCUAACACAUGCAAGUCGAACGAGACCUUCGGGUCUAGUGGCGCACGGGUGCGUAACGCGUGGGAACCUGCCCUUAGGUUCGGAAUAACUCCCCGAAAGGGGUGCUAAUACCGGAUAAUGUCUUCGGACCAAAGAUUUAUCGCCUUUGGAUGGGCCCGCGUUGGAUUAGCUAGUUGGUAGGGUAAAAGCCUACCAAGGCGACGAUCCAUAGCUGGUCUGAGAGGAUGAUCAGCUACACUGGGACUGAGACACGGCCCAGACUCCUACGGGAGGCAGCAGUGGGGAAUAUUGGACAAUGGGCGAAAGCCUGAUCCAGCAAUGCCGCGUGAGUGAUGAAGGCCUUAGGGUUGUAAAGCUCUUUUACCCGGGAUGAUAAUGACAGUACCGGGAGAAUAAGCGCCGGCUAACUCCGUG
RNAcentral lists this ribosomal RNA (433 nucleotides) under uncultured bacterium. RNAcentral describes it as "partial 16S ribosomal RNA". It matches the Rfam family "Bacterial small subunit ribosomal RNA", at positions 29 to 507 of the family's 1533-position model. The record is from RNAcentral.